Molecule: transfer RNA, 72 nt
Filed under: Diaphorina citri (Asian citrus psyllid)
Lineage: Eukaryota; Metazoa; Arthropoda; Insecta; Hemiptera; Psyllidae
Rfam family: tRNA
About the family: Transfer RNA (tRNA) molecules are approximately 80 nucleotides in length. Their secondary structure includes four short double-helical elements and three loops (D, anti-codon, and T loops).
Source: Rfam by way of RNAcentral
GCCUAGUUAGCUUGGUUGGUAGCGCGUCUGCCUUGUAAGCGCUAGGGCGCGGGUUCGAUUCCCGCCCGGGCG